This 492-nucleotide ribosomal RNA is filed under the name Rungaspis sp. ud3995. RNAcentral's name for it is "partial 28S ribosomal RNA". It matches the Rfam family "Eukaryotic large subunit ribosomal RNA", at positions 538 to 912 of the family's 3401-position model. Lineage: Eukaryota; Metazoa; Arthropoda; Insecta; Hemiptera; Diaspididae. The record is from RNAcentral.
GCGGAUCUCUGGCUGGCUGUCGGACAGUACGCUCAACGGUGUCUGGUGCCGUCUUGCGCGCGCACCGGUACCGGUCAGCGACGAAUUCUUCGGGCCUCUUUCCGACCCGUCUUGAAACACGGACCAAGGAGUCUAACAUGCGCGCGAGUCGCGGGGUGUCGAGCGUACUUCGGUGCGUUCGUUACGUUGCGAAACCCGUACAUGUCGAAGGCGUAAUGAAAGUGAAUGGGGAAGAUGGUGUUCCGAGUACACGUUCCGCGAUCGUUGGUAUCGCGGCCGGACACCCGCAUUCCCGGGGCGUCUCAACGGCCCGUCGCUGAUGCGGACGGUCGUCUCUCGGGGCGGUCGUCGGUCGGCGAUGAACCGAGGCGCACCUAUAGCGUGCACGUUGGUACCCGAAAGAUGGUGAACUAUGCCUGGCCAGGAUGAAGUCAGGGGAAACCCUGAUGGAGGUCCGCAGCGAUUCUGACGUGCAAAUCGAUCGUCUGAGCU